This 330-nucleotide unclassified non-coding RNA is filed under the name uncultured fungus. RNAcentral's name for it is "partial contains small subunit ribosomal RNA, internal transcribed spacer 1, and 5.8S ribosomal RNA". The stretch from base 1 to 73 matches the Rfam family "Eukaryotic small subunit ribosomal RNA", at positions 1759 to 1831 of the family's 1831-position model. The record is from RNAcentral. Lineage: Eukaryota; Fungi.
GCAAACUUGGUCAUUUAGAGGAAGUAAAAGUCGUAACAAGGUUUCCGUAGGUGAACCUGCGGAAGGAUCAUUAUCGAAUCGAACUUUGGUUGGACUGUUUGCUGGCUCUUCGGGGCAUGUGCACGUCCGACACCAAAUUCUUUUCCACCUGUGCACCUAUUGUAGAUCUGGGCUUUGAGGACUGUUCUCGUGGGGAGCUUGUCUUCUAUCUUUUCCAGUCUACGUUUUUUUCAUAUACUCUAAACAAUGUUGUUACUAGAAUGAAUACAAUAUAAUAAAACAACUUUCAACAACGGAUCUCUUGGCUCUCGCAUCGAUGAAGAACGCAGC